ACUCAAAUGAAUAGACGGGGGCCCGCACAAGCGGUGGAGCAUGUGGUUCAAUUCGACGCAACGCGAAGAACCUUACCUGGGCUCGAAAUGUAGUGGACCGGGGUAGAAAUAUCCCUUUUCGCAAGAACUGCUAUAUAGGUGCUGCAUGGCUGUCGUCAGCUCGUGUCGUGAGAUGUUGGGUUAAGUCCCGCAACGAGCGCAACCCUUAUCGUUAGUUGCCAUCGGGUCAAGCCGGGCACUCUAGCGAAACCGCUUCGGAUAACGGAGAGGAAGGUGGGGAUGACGUCAAGUCCUCAUGGCCUUUAUGUCCAGGGCUACACACGUGCUACAAUGGUCGGUAUAGAACGUCGCAAACCCGCGAGGGGGAGCUAAUCGGAAAAAGCCGACCUCAGUUCGGAUUGGAGUCUGCAAUUCGACUCCAUGAAGCUGGAAUCGCUAGUAAUCGCGGAUCAGAACGCCGCGGUGAAUACGUUCCCGGGCCUUGUACACACCGCCCGU
This 498-nucleotide ribosomal RNA is filed under the name uncultured bacterium. RNAcentral describes it as "partial 16S ribosomal RNA". It matches the Rfam family "Bacterial small subunit ribosomal RNA", at positions 899 to 1397 of the family's 1533-position model. The record is from RNAcentral.